RNAcentral lists this ribosomal RNA (497 nucleotides) under uncultured bacterium. RNAcentral describes it as "partial 16S ribosomal RNA". It matches the Rfam family "Bacterial small subunit ribosomal RNA", at positions 28 to 507 of the family's 1533-position model. The record is from RNAcentral.
GAUGAACGCUGGCGGCGUGCCUAAUACAUGCAAGUCGAGCGAACGGACGAGAAGCUUGCUUCUCUGAUGUUAGCGGCGGACAGGUGAGUAACACGUGGAUAACCUACCUAUAAGACUGGGAUAACUUCGGGAAACCGGAGCUAAUACCGGAUAAUAUUUUGAACCGCAUGGUUCAAAAGUGAAAGACGGUCUUGCUGUCACUUAUAGAUGGAUCCGCGCUGCAUUAGCUAGUUGGUAAGGUAACGGCUUACCAAGGCAACGAUGCAUAGCCGACCUGAGAGGGUGAUCGGCCACACUGGAACUGAGACACGGUCCAGACUCCUACGGGAGGCAGCAGUAGGGAAUCUUCCGCAAUGGGCGAAAGCCUGACGGAGCAACGCCGCGUGAGUGAUGAAGGUCUUCGGAUCGUAAAACUCUGUUAUUAGGGAAGAACAUAUGUGUAAGUAACUGUGCACAUCUUGACGGUACCUAAUCAGAAAGCAACGGCUAACUACGUG